This 343-nucleotide ribosomal RNA is filed under the name uncultured bacterium. RNAcentral describes it as "bacterial SSU rRNA". It matches the Rfam family "Bacterial small subunit ribosomal RNA", at positions 133 to 507 of the family's 1533-position model. The record is from RNAcentral.
CGAGUGGGGAAUAACUUCGGGAAACCGAGGCUAAUACCGCAUAAUACCCACGGGUCAAAGGAGCAAUUCGCUUGAGGAGGAGGUCGCGGCCGAUUAGUUAGUUGGCGGGGUAAUGGCCCCACCAAGACGGUGAUCGGUAUCCGGCCUGAGAGGGCGCACGGACACACUGGAACUGAAACACGGUCCAGACUCCUACGGGAGGCAGCAGUGGGGAAUUUUGCGCAAUGGGGGAAACCCUGACGCAGCAACGCCGCGUGGAGGAUGAAGUCUCUUGGGACGUAAACUCCUUUCGAUCGGGACGAUUAUGACGGUACCGGAAGAAGAAGCCCCGGCUAACUCCGUG